GGGUGAGGAGAGUAUCCUAAGGCCAGCGAGAGAACUGUUGUUAAGGAACUCGGCAAAAUGAACCCGUAACUUAGGGAUAAGGGGUGCCACCAUCAGGUGGCCGCAGAGAAUAGGCCCAAGCGACUGUUUACCAAAAACAUAGGUUUCUGCUAAGUCGCAAGACGAUGUAUAGGAGCUGACGCCUGCCCGGUGCUGGAAGGGUAAGGGGAUCUGUUAGAGCAAUCGAAGCAGUGAACUUAAGCCCCAGUAAACGGCGGCCGUAACUAUACCGGUCCUAAGGUAGCGAAAUUCCUUGUCGGGUAAGUUCCGACCCGCACGAAAGGCGUAACGAUUUGGGCACUGUCUCAACAACAGACUCGGUGAAAUUGUAAUUCCGGUGAAGAUGCCGGAUACCUGCGACAGGACGGAAAGACCCCAUGGAGCUUUACUGUAGCUUGACAUUGGGUCUUGGUACUACAUGUACAGGAUAGGUGGGAGGCUUUGAAACCAGGACGCCAGUUUUGGCGGAGCCAUCCUUGGGAUACCACCCUUGUAGUACUGG
This 541-nucleotide ribosomal RNA is filed under the name Clostridioides difficile. RNAcentral's name for it is "bacterial LSU rRNA". It matches the Rfam family "Bacterial large subunit ribosomal RNA", at positions 1665 to 2217 of the family's 2925-position model. Lineage: Bacteria; Bacillati; Bacillota; Clostridia; Peptostreptococcales; Peptostreptococcaceae. The record is from RNAcentral.